GACGAACGCUGGCGGCGUGCUUAACACAUGCAAGUCGAACGGAAAGGCCCUGCUUUUGUGGGGUGCUCGAGUGGCGAACGGGUGAGUAACACGUGAGUAACCUGCCCUUGACUUUGGGAUAACUUCAGGAAACUGGGGCUAAUACCGGAUAGGAGCUCCUGCUGCAUGGUGGGGGUUGGAAAGUUUCGGCGGUUGGGGAUGGACUCGCGGCUUAUCAGCUUGUUGGUGGGGUAGUGGCUUACCAAGGCUUUGACGGGUAGCCGGCCUGAGAGGGUGACCGGCCACAUUGGGACUGAGAUACGGCCCAGACCCCUACGGGAGGCAGCAGUGGGGAAUAUUGCACAAUGGGCGGAAGCCUGAUGCAGCAACGCCGCGUGCGGGAUGACGGCCUUCGGGUUGUAAACCGCUUUCGCCUGUGACGAAGCGUGAGUGACGGUAAUGGGUAAAGAAGCACCGGCUAACUACGUGCCAGCAGCCGCGGUGAUACGUAGGGUGCGAGCGUUGUCCGGAUUUAUUGGGCGUAAAGGGCUCGUAGGUGGUUGAUCGCGUCGGAAGUGUAAUCUUGGGGCUUAACCCUGAGCGUGCUUUCGAUACGGGUUGACUUGAGGAAGGUAGGGGAGAAUGGAAUUCCUGGUGGAGCGGUGGAAUGCGCAGAUAUCAGGAGGAACACCAGUGGCGAAGGCGGUUCUCUGGGCCUUUCCUGACGCUGAGGAGCGAAAGCGUGGGGAGCGAACAGGCUUAGAUACCCUGGUAGUCCACGCUGUAAACGGUGGGUACUAGGUGAGGGGUCCAUUCCACGGGUUCCGUGCCGUAGCUAACGCUUUAAGUACCCCGCCUGGGGAGUACGGCCGCAAGGCUAAAACUCAAAGGAAUUGACGGGGCCCCGCACAAGCGGCGGAGCAUGCGGAUUAAUUCGAUGCAACGCGUAGAACCUUACCUGGGUUUGACAUGGAUCGGGAGUGCUCAGAGAUGGGUGUGCCUCUUUUGGGGUCGGUUCACAGGUGGUGCAUGGCUGUCGUCAGCUCGUGUCGUGAGAUGUUGGGUUAAGUCCCGCAACGAGCGCAACCCUUGUUCACUGUUGCCAGCACGUUAUGGUGGGGACUCAGUGGAGACCGCCGGGGUCAACUCGGAGGAAGGUGGGGAUGACGUCAAGUCAUCAUGCCCCUUAUGUCCAGGGCUUCACGCAUGCUACAAUGGCUGGUACAGAGAGUGGCGAGCCUGUGAGGGUGAGCGAAUCUCGGAAAGCCGGUCUCAGUUCGGAUUGGGGCCUGCAACUCGACCUCAUGAAGUCGGAGUCGCUAGUAAUCGCAGAUCAGCAACGCUGCGGUGAAUACGUUCCCGGGGCU
This 1346-nucleotide ribosomal RNA is filed under the name uncultured bacterium. Its description in RNAcentral is "partial 16S ribosomal RNA". It matches the Rfam family "Bacterial small subunit ribosomal RNA", at positions 28 to 1381 of the family's 1533-position model. The record is from RNAcentral.